This 2075-nucleotide small RNA is filed under the name Arabidopsis thaliana (thale cress). RNAcentral describes it as "ATSL086460". The record is from RNAcentral. Lineage: Eukaryota; Viridiplantae; Streptophyta; Magnoliopsida; Brassicales; Brassicaceae.
AAAGAUAACUUUGCUGCCCCUAGAGAGAUGAGAGAUCCCACUCCUAACAGAUCACUCUCUAAAGAUACUUCUAUCAAUCAGAGUCUUCAGGCUUAUACCUAGAAAGAUAGAAGGGUGGGUCGAAGCUCUUCUAGAGAACACUUCCCCAAAGAAAAUGGACGCUAUGAUGCUAGAAGAAACAUAAAUUAUUACCACCAUGAAGGAAGAACCUCAGCAAGUAGAGAGCUAAGGCAUAUGAGAGUUACCUCAGGGACUCAGGAGUUUUCUCGAGAGGGUCCAAGAAGAGGGUCGUCCAAUAGAUCAUUCAACUAUGACAACCCAAAUUACCAGUGGAGGGCACGAGAUUCAUCCAGAAACAGCCCUAGACAUGACAGUUAAAAAUCUUGGAGAACACGCAUGCCACCUUUGGAGAGACCUCUUGUUUAGUUUUGAUAAGUGUGCAUUUUACAUGUUUUGAGCAUCCAUUUGUUAUCACUAUUGCAUCAUAUCAUCACUGUUUUAUACCAUUUCUCAUCAUUUGUCAUCACUUUACAUGUUUAGGAUAUGUUUGCAUAUUUGUGUUGUUUUUAGGUGAUUUGGAGCUGUUAACGAGCUAAUUGGAAGAAGCGGACCUGAUCAUGUCAAACCACUCAACCCCCUGGUCAAGUAGAUGCUUCACGACCUCAACAGACCACUUGACCCCCUGGUCGAGUACCACCAUGAGAGUCACUCGAUCACAUCACUCGACCACCUGGUCGAGUAUCAUCACCUCCACCACCUGACCAUCACUCGAUCACACCACUUGACCACAAGGUCGAGUAUCUUCAUCACCGUCACUCGAUCACUCUACCACCAAGUCGAGUACCACCAUCUCCAUCAUUCGACUUCAUACUCGGUUGCCAGCUUCAGAGUCUUCUCCAUUCCGCACUCAACCAGACACUUGAGCACAAGGAAGAAAAGAAGACUCCAGCUUAUCACUCGAUCAUUCACUCGACCAUCUGGGUCGAGUACCGUUUUUAAUCCGUCCCAAUAUUGCGUCGUUUUGAGUAUUAGGGUUUCGGAAAAUUUCGCUAUAAGUAGCAUGUACUUUACAUUUUCGAUGAAAGAGUUUUAUUCUGUAGACACUGUGUUCUUGACAUUUUUGUAAUCCGUAUUUCUCUUAAUCUAUUCAGUAUUCAGUUUUUGCUUUUGAUUUCGUUUACUGUUGUUCAUCCUGUUAUCAUCAUGCUAUAACUCUGUUGAUAUCAUGUUUUCAUCCUAUUCAACGUUUAUGCUUUCUACUAUGAUGUCUGAGUAGUGACUAGAUUUCUGAGGAUGGGUUAGAGUAGUUUAGAAUUCUCAGAAUGCUAGGUGGUUGAGUUUGAUUUAUAGAUCCCUUCUGGAUUAGUUGUUCUUAAUGCCUAUUGCUUUCUGAUCAACUGGAAUUUGAGCCCAGACAUUUCUACGCCCAAAAGGUGUUCGAUAAAAUGUCUAAACCACUAAUUCCAGAGAUUCGUGGCUCUAUACCAAGGCAUUGGUUGCAGGGAGCGUUUUGGCUUUAACUUGUUGAUUCGUAAUGCCUAUAAGGUUAGCUCUCGUCAAUGGUGAUUAAGUCUGGGACUGGUUUAACUUGAGGGUCUCUAUUGCGGUGGUACUUAGAUUUGGUUACUGAACUUGUUGUCUAGGGAUAAUUUGUUGAGCAUAUCAAUCACCUGUAAACUGAGGAAACAAAACUACUCAAUUACCCCAUCCUCGAGAGUUCUUUAUCUGAUUGAUUUCUUUGUUUACUCUGCUGUUUUUUACUGCAUCUUGUUACUUGUUGCUUAGUUUUUGCAUUUCUGUCCUGUUACUCGACCUGAUACUCGACCACCUAGUUUUCUGGCAACAGACUGUGCAGUCGAGUAGCCCUGUUGGCAACAAGCUGUGUUGGUCGAGUGUUUUACUGUUUCUGCUUGAAUUUCAGUUUCCUGCAUGUUCACUUAGGACGGCUAGAAACUCCAAAACCUGUUAUUGCUUGGUUUGACUCUGUGAACUCUGAUUGCAUCUUGAUUGUUAGCAUCACACCCAUUUGGAUUGACAACCUAAAAUACUACAACGACAUGAUAGUGCUUUAAGUU